Molecule: ribosomal RNA, 1374 nt
Filed under: uncultured bacterium
Lineage: Bacteria
Description: bacterial SSU rRNA
Rfam family: Bacterial small subunit ribosomal RNA
Source: RNAcentral
GAUGAACGCUGGCGGCGUGCCUAAUACAUGCAAGUCGAGCGAACGGACGAGAAGCUUGCUUCUCUGAUGUUAGCGGCGGACGGGUGAGUAACACGUGGAUAACCUACCUAUAAGACUGGGAUAACUUCGGGAAACCGGAGCUAAUACCGGAUGAUAUUUUGAACCGCAUGGUUCAAAAGUGAAAGACGGUCUUGCUGUCACUUAUAGAUGGAUCCGCGCUGCAUUAGCUAGUUGGUAAGGUAACGGCUUACCAAGGCAACGAUGCAUAGCCGACCUGAGAGGGUGAUCGGCCACACUGGAACUGAGACACGGUCCAGACUCCUACGGGAGGCAGCAGUAGGGAAUCUUCCGCAAUGGGCGAAAGCCUGACGGAGCAACGCCGCGUGAGUGAUGAAGGUCUUCGGAUCGUAAAACUCUGUUAUUAGGGAAGAACAUAUGUGUAAGUAACUGUGCACAUCUUGACGGUACCUAAUCAGAAAGCCACGGCUAACUACGUGCCAGCAGCCGCGGUAAUACGUAGGUGGCAAGCGUUAUCCGGAAUUAUUGGGCGUAAAGCGCGCGUAGGCGGUUUUUUAAGUCUGAUGUGAAAGCCCACGGCUCAACCGUGGAGGGUCAUUGGAAACUGGAAAACUUGAGUGCAGAAGAGGAAAGUGGAAUUCCAUGUGUAGCGGUGAAAUGCGCAGAGAUAUGGAGGAACACCAGUGGCGAAGGCGACUUUCUGGUCUGUAACUGACGCUGAUGUGCGAAAGCGUGGGGAUCAAACAGGAUUAGAUACCCUGGUAGUCCACGCCGUAAACGAUGAGUGCUAAGUGUUAGGGGGUUUCCGCCCCUUAGUGCUGCAGCUAACGCAUUAAGCACUCCGCCUGGGGAGUACGACCGCAAGGUUGAAACUCAAAGGAAUUGACGGGGACCCGCACAAGCGGUGGAGCAUGUGGUUUAAUUCGAAGCAACGCGAAGAACCUUACCAAAUCUUGACAUCCUUUGACAACUCUAGAGAUAGAGCCUUCCCCUUCGGGGGGGACAAAGUGACAGGUGGUGCAUGGUUGUCGUCAGCUCGUGUCGUGAGAUGUUGGGUUAAGUCCCGCAACGAGCGCAACCCUUAAGCUUAGUUGCCAUCAUUAAGUUGGGCACUCUAAGUUGACUGCCGGUGACAAACCGGAGGAAGGUGGGGAUGACGUCAAAUCAUCAUGCCCCUUAUGAUUUGGGCUACACACGUGCUACAAUGGACAAUACAAAGGGCAGCGAAACCGCGAGGCCAAGCAAAUCCCAUAAAGUUGUUCUCAGUUCGGAUUGUAGUCUGCAACUCGACUACAUAAAGCUGGAAUCGCUAGUAAUCGUAGAUCAGCAUGCUACGGUGAAUACGUUCCCGGGCCU